Molecule: ribosomal RNA, 253 nt
Filed under: uncultured bacterium
Lineage: Bacteria
Description: partial 16S ribosomal RNA
Rfam family: Bacterial small subunit ribosomal RNA
Source: RNAcentral
GAUCCUGGCUCAGAUUGAACGCUGGCGGCAUGCCUUACACAUGCAAGUCGAACGGUAACAGGUCUUCGGACGCUGACGAGUGGCGAACGGGUGAGUAAUACAUCGGAACGUGCCCAGUCGUGGGGGUUAACUACUCGAAAGAGUAGCUAAUACCGCAUACGAUCUAAGGAUGAAAGCGGGGGACCUUCGGGCCUCGCGCGAUUGGAGCGGCCGAUGGCAGAUUAGGUAGUUGGUGGGAUAAAAGCUUACCAAG